UUAACACAUGCAAGUCGAGGGGCAGCAUGAACUUAGCUUGCUAAGUUUGAUGGCGACCGGCGCACGGGUGAGUAACACGUAUCCAACCUGCCGAUAACUCGGGGAUAGCCUUUCGAAAGAAAGAUUAAUACCCGAUGGUAUAGUUCUUCCGCAUGGUUUUACUAUUAAAGAAUUUCGGUUAUCGAUGGGGAUGCGUUCCAUUAGUUUGUUGGCGGGGUAACGGCCCACCAAGACUACGAUGGAUAGGGGUUCUGAGAGGAAGGUCCCCCACAUUGGAACUGAGACACGGUCCAAACUCC
This 299-nucleotide ribosomal RNA is filed under the name uncultured Bacteroides sp. Its description in RNAcentral is "partial 16S ribosomal RNA". It matches the Rfam family "Bacterial small subunit ribosomal RNA", at positions 48 to 339 of the family's 1533-position model. Lineage: Bacteria; Pseudomonadati; Bacteroidota; Bacteroidia; Bacteroidales; Bacteroidaceae. The record is from RNAcentral.